Molecule: ribosomal RNA, 1978 nt
Filed under: seawater metagenome
Description: bacterial LSU rRNA
Rfam family: Bacterial large subunit ribosomal RNA
Source: RNAcentral
UCAAGCGCGAAAAGGGCGUUUGGUGAAUGCCUUGGCAGUAAGAGGCGAUGAAGGACGUGAUACUCUGCGAUAAGUUAUGGGGAGCUGAGAAUAAGCUUUGAUCCAUAAAUUUCCGAAUGGGGCAACCCACCUGAUACUUUGUUAUUAAUACUACUUAUUGUAGUGCCGCUUAAGGGUCCGCCCUGAGGUUGCGUUACAUGCGGUGGGGCAUAAUAAUAGGGUAAACCAGGUAUUUAUAACUUGAAUACAUAGGGUUAUAAAAGCAAACCCGGGGAACUGAAACAUCUAAGUACCCGGAGGAAAGGACAUCAAUUAGAUACUCCCCUAGUAGCGGCGAGCGAACGGGGACCAGCCGAGCCAUGAGUGUGACUAGAAUGUGUUGGAAAGCACAACCAAAGUGGGUGACAGUCCCGUAUAGGAAGCAUGAUUGGACGUAUUAAGUAGGGCGGGACACGUGAAAUCCUGUUCGAAGAUCGGAGGACCACCUCCGAAGGCUAAGUACUCCUUACUGACCGAUAGUGAACCAGUACCGUGAGGGAAAGGUGAAAAGCACCCCGACGAGGGGAGUGAAACAGUUUCUGAAACCGGACGCCUACAAUCAGUUGGAGGGCCCUUGCGGCCUGACAGCGUACCUUUUGUAUAAUGGGUCAUCGACUUAGUGUAUCUAGCAAGCUUAAGCCGUUAGGUGUAGGCGCAGCGAAAGCGAGUCUUAAUAGGGCGAUUGAGUUAGAUGCAUUAGACCCGAAACCGAGUGAUCUAGGCAUGACCAGGUUGAAGGUUGGGUAACACCAACUGGAGGACCGAACCCACAUCUGUUGAAAAAGAUCGGGAUGAGUUGUGCCUAGGGGUGAAAGGCCAAUCAAACUCGGAGAUAGCUGGUUCUCCGCGAAAUCUAUUUAGGUAGAGCGUCAUCCGAAUACCCCGGGGGGUAGAGCACUGGAUGGGUAAUGGGGCCCCACAGGCUUACUGAUCCUAACCAAACUCCGAAUACCCGGGAGUAAUAGAUGGCAGACACACUGCGGGUGCUAACGCCCGUAGUGAAAAGGGAAACAACCCUGACCGACAGUUAAGGCCCCUAAUUCAUGGCUAAGUGGGAAAGCAGGUGGGACGACCAAAACAACCAGGAAGUUGGCUUAGAAGCAGCCAUCUUUUAAAGAUAGCGUAACAGCUCACUGGUCUAAUUAAGUUGUCCUGCGGCGAAGAUGUAACGGGGCUCAAGCCAUGAGCCGAAACUUCGGAUGCAUUUAAUGCAUGGUAGCGGAGCGUAGUGUGACAUAGUUCCAUGCGUCCUUCGUUUUAUAGCGGACUGCCCAGGCUUUCGAGCCUGUGUGGAGGCGCGUAAAAUACUGGACGCAAGGAGCUUUCUGUGAAGCCGGCCUGUGAGGGAUCCGGUGGAGAGAUCACUAGUGAGAAUGAUGACAUGAGUAACGACAAAGGGGGUGAGAGACCCCCUCGCCGAAAAUCCAAGGGUUCCUGCUUAAAGCUAAUCUGAGCAGGGUAAGCCGGCCCCUAAGCCGAGGGCGAAAGCCGUAGGCGAUGGGAACCAGGUUAAUAUUCCUGGGCCAGGAGGAAGUGACGGAUCAUGAAGAUUGUUGGAUCAGGCGUAGUUGCCCCAGCAGUUAAGUGGUUCCUGGAAAUAGCCCUCCAUCAGACCGUACCCUAAACCGACACAGGUGGAUAGGUAGAGUAUACCAAGGCGCUUGAGAGAACUAUGUUGAAGGAACUCGGCAAAAUACCUCCGUAAGUUCGCGAGAAGGAGGCCCGGUUUCUAGGCAACUGGAAGCUGGGGGCACAAACCAGGGGGUGGCGACUGUUUACUAAAAACACAGGGCUCUGCGAAGUCGCAAGACGACGUAUAGGGUCUGACGCCUGCCCGGUGCCUGAAGGUUAAAAGGAGGGGUGAGAGCUCCGAAUUGAAGCCCAGGUAAACGGCGGCCGUAACUAUAACGGUCCUAAGGUAGCGAAAUUCCUUGUCGGG